UGGGGCGUGGUGAAGCGGUAACACAGCGGACUUUGGAUCCGCCAUGCGGAGGUUCGAAUCCUCCCGCCCCAGCCA
This 75-nucleotide transfer RNA is filed under the name bacterium. RNAcentral's name for it is "tRNA-Gln". It matches the Rfam family "tRNA". From Rfam's summary of the family: Transfer RNA (tRNA) molecules are approximately 80 nucleotides in length. Their secondary structure includes four short double-helical elements and three loops (D, anti-codon, and T loops). RNAcentral also lists the same sequence under 2 other names. The record is from RNAcentral.